Non-coding RNA from Arachis ipaensis, 650 nucleotides. The record is from RefSeq and is a predicted model, not a curated record. NCBI's taxonomy places the organism in Eukaryota, Viridiplantae, Streptophyta, Magnoliopsida, Fabales, Fabaceae.
CCCCAGUGCUUCUCAAUCGCGCUGCCAGGUACUCUCAAGAGUCGUUCGCCGCCUUUGCGUCUGCCUUGCCACAGCCGUCGCCGUUCCUUAUACUGAUGUUUUUGGAACCUGGCACAUAAUCAAGAUAAGGAAGUAAUAAAAUUGUUGGUUUGCUUUGGAAAAAAAAAGCCUGAGGUACGAUGAGUUUGGUACUGCCUAAUGUCUUUUUUUUUCUCUUUGUAUUAAUGUGAUGAUUGUGAAUAAACUAAAUGUUCACCUGGUUGUCUUGUGACAGCUAAUAAAGAGUUUUCCUAUGAAUGAAGUAUAGAGGGCAUAAGAGACAAAUUAAUUGUCCUAUUUGAAUUUCAAAGAGUUAGACAUCACUCACAUGUUCCAUUUUUAUGGAAGGCCAUUCUUGAAUACUUUACUGUCGAAGACAAGUUUCCGUGGAAGCGACAUCUAGAAGCUUGAAAAUAUGAAGCUGGUCAUGAUUACAAGUUAUGAAGUUAUCAAGAUUGUUUGCUUUUCCCUAACAUCAAAUUUUAAAAGGGAAAAUUCUAUGGUGCUGAUCAAGGAUGUCAGCAUAACAUGUUGUUUAGGCGUGUAGUUGUUAGAACAGGACACGUGAUAAUUGCGUGUUGUUGCUGUCGUGAUUUCCAUUUCGUGGGAGU